Molecule: long non-coding RNA, 337 nt
Organism: Xiphophorus hellerii (green swordtail)
Lineage: Eukaryota; Metazoa; Chordata; Actinopteri; Cyprinodontiformes; Poeciliidae
Exons: 3
Source: RefSeq, a predicted model, not a curated record
CGGCUGCCCGGAGAUUACCCACAAUGCACUGCACAGGACCUGAGGAGCACACAGCAGGGUCAGCUGGGCCAGAACCAGAACCUGGACCAGAACCUGGACCUGGACGGUAUUAAAGUGAACCGAAUCGGACCGGGUCCAACCGGGUCGGACUGAAUAACGUGACGCUCUCUGACUGCUCGCCUCCACAGCUGCUGCUGCAUCAUGACCUUCCUGGCAGAAAUUACAGGUUCCUUUCAGAACCAGAACCGGGUUUGGGCUCCCUCCCUGACAGAACCCGUCAGUGCAGCAGCAGUCAGAGUUCGGCAGCCAUGAUUCUCACCAGCAGCGUGUCGGCGGC